RNAcentral lists this ribosomal RNA (292 nucleotides) under uncultured prokaryote. RNAcentral describes it as "partial 16S ribosomal RNA". It matches the Rfam family "Bacterial small subunit ribosomal RNA", at positions 505 to 796 of the family's 1533-position model. The record is from RNAcentral.
GUGCCAGCCGCCGCGGUAAUACGGAGGGUGCGAGCGUUAAUCGGAAUUACUGGGCGUAAAGCGCAUGCAGGUGGUUUGUUAAGUCAGAUGUGAAAUCCCCGGGCUCAACCUGGGAACUGCAUUUGAAACUGGCAAGCUUGAGUCUUGUAGAGGGGGGUAGAAUUCCAGGUGUAGCGGUGAAAUGCGUAGAGAUCUGGAGGAAUACCGGUGGCGAAGGCGGCCCCCUGGACAAAGACUGACGCUCAGGUGCGAAAGCGUGGGGAGCAAACAGGAUUAGAUACCCCAGUAGUCC